RNAcentral lists this unclassified non-coding RNA (203 nucleotides) under Hevea brasiliensis (rubber tree). Lineage: Eukaryota; Viridiplantae; Streptophyta; Magnoliopsida; Malpighiales; Euphorbiaceae. The record is from RNAcentral.
GUGGAAGCAAGGAAGUUCAGGUGAAAGUUCUCGUUAAGCGUGGGAACAAACAGCAAACCAAGAAGAUGUACAUCCCUCGUGAUUGCACACUUUUACAGAGUACUAAACAGAAAGAAGCAGCGGAGCUAGAAGAGAAGCAAGAUAUUAAGAGGUUAAUCUUAGAGUACAAUGACCGGGAAGAGGAAGAACUUAAUGGAUUAGGC